CCUACGGGAGGCAGCAGUGAGGAAUAUUGGUCAAUGGACGAGAGUCUGAACCAGCCAAGUAGCGUGAAGGAUGACUGCCCUAUGGGUUGUAAACCUCUUUUAUAUGGGAAUAAAACGUUCCACGCGUGGGCUUUUGUAUGUACCAUAUGAAUAAGGAUCGGCUAACUCCGUGCCAGCAGCCGCGGUAAUACGGAGGAUCCGAGCGUUAUCCGGAUUUAUUGGGUUUAAAGGGUGCGUAGGGGGUUUGUUAAGUCAGUUGUGAAAGUUUGCGGCUCAACCGUAAAAUUGCAGUUGAAACUGGAAGACUUGAGUUGGUGUGAGGUAGGCGGAAUGCGUGGUGUAGCGGUGAAAUGCAUAGAUAUCGCGCAGAACUCCGAUUGCGAAGGCAGCUUACUGAGCCAUAACUGACGCUGAGGCACGAAAGCGUGGGGAUCAAACAGGAUUAGAUACCCCAGUAGUC
This 460-nucleotide ribosomal RNA is filed under the name uncultured bacterium. Its description in RNAcentral is "partial 16S ribosomal RNA". It matches the Rfam family "Bacterial small subunit ribosomal RNA", at positions 338 to 795 of the family's 1533-position model. The record is from RNAcentral.